UACGUAGGUGGCAAGCGUUAUCCGGAUUUAUUGGGUGUAAAGGGCGUGUAGGCGGGAGCGCAAGUCAGAUGUGAAAACUCAGGGCUCAACCCUGAGCCUGCAUUUGAAACUGUGUUUCUUGAGUGCUGGAGAGGCAAUCGGAAUUCCGUGUGUAGCGGUGAAAUGCGUAGAUAUACGGAGGAACACCAGUGGCGAAGGCGGAUUGCUGGGCGAUGACUGACGUUGAGGCUCGAAAGCGUGGGGAGCAAACAGG
Molecule: ribosomal RNA, 253 nt
Filed under: uncultured bacterium
Lineage: Bacteria
Description: partial 16S ribosomal RNA
Rfam family: Bacterial small subunit ribosomal RNA
Source: RNAcentral